GCCAGCAGCCAUAUCACCCCGCAACCCAUUGAAGCUCAGCAGGUGUGACCCUGGUCAGUACCUGGAUGGGAGACCUCCUGGGAAAAACUAAGGUUGCUGCUGGAA
RNAcentral lists this ribosomal RNA (105 nucleotides) under Lepisosteus oculatus (spotted gar). The record is from RNAcentral. Lineage: Eukaryota; Metazoa; Chordata; Actinopteri; Semionotiformes; Lepisosteidae.